Drosophila rhopaloa is the source of this 1478-nucleotide RNA transcript. It is a transcript of the gene named dehydrogenase/reductase SDR family member on chromosome X, with no coding region annotated. The transcript has 6 exons. The record is from RefSeq and is a predicted model, not a curated record. Lineage: Eukaryota; Metazoa; Arthropoda; Insecta; Diptera; Drosophilidae.
AUCAGUGCAUCCCUGGUCCGUCAGUGUAUUCUUCGCUCGUCUGCAAUUUUGUAAUUAAAUAGAUUCAAAUCAGCGUUUUUGUAAGUGCACAUACAGAGUUCCGGACAUACGGACCAAUCAUGCUGGGCUCUUUGCUGUGGCUCUUUUUCGUCGGCCUGCUGCUGUGCGCGUUCCUGUUCUCAAAGACCACCAAGGAGUUCCCCAAGUCGUGGUUCGAAUGGAAGACGGAGUUCCGGUACCAGUACCUCGGCAUCGUGGGUCUCGUCCACGACGCUCAGUACGCGGCGCGGGAUCGAGUGGCACUUUAUAAGCAACCGGAUCGCAUUGCUGUCAUCACGGGAGGCAAUCGCGGCAUCGGACUGCGCAUCGUGGAGAAGCUGCUGGCCUGCGACAUGACUGUCGUCAUGGGUGUUCGUGAUCCUCGAAGCGCUGAAUCCGCCGUAGCAUCUAUAGUGGACCUCAAGACGACCAAGGGGAAGCUCAUCUGCGAGCAACUGGAUGUCGGGGACCUGAAAUCGGUGAAGGCCUUUGCCCAGCUCAUCAAGGAGCGGUACUCGAAAGUGGACUUGCUGCUGAACAAUGCCGGUAUCAUGUUCGCACCCUUCAAACUCACAGCCGAUGGCUACGAGUCGCACUUUGCCACCAACUUCCUGGGCCACUUCCUACUCACCCACCUGCUCCUGCCCCAAUUGAAAUUGGCGGGCAAGGAGGGAAAGAAUGCCAGAAUCGUCAACGUCAGCUCCUGCGUGAAUCUCAUUGGACGCAUCAACUACAAGGACAUCAACGGAACGAAACAUUACUACCCAGGAACCGCCUACAGCCAGUCGAAGCUUGCCCAGAUUCUGUUCACCCGCCAUCUGCAAACGCUGCUGGAUGCGGAGAAGUCGCACGUCCAGGUCAACGUAGUGCAUCCGGGCAUUGUGGACACGGAUCUCUUCGAGCACUCGGCCACCACAUCGGUGCCCAUCUUCAAGAAGCUCUUCUUCAAGACACCGGAGCGGGGAUCACGCACAGUGGUCUUCGCGGCCAUCGAUCCCUCCAUCGAGGGUCAGGGAGGCACUUACCUGAGCAACGGCGGCAAGGGUCCCUUCCAUCCGGACGCCAAGAAGCCUGCCAAGUGCGAGCAGCUCUUCCAGUUCUCCUCCGAUCUGCUGAAGAUUCAGCAGUACGGAAACGGCGAAUUCUAAUAGCAUUGUAAUACACGUCCUUUCACAUUCCCCCCUCUACUGGUGCAACGUACUCUUCUAGAUUCCAUAUGCAGCUGGUUUUCUGUGUCCGGAUCCUAGGAACUACUGAUGCUAAUCUGGCCGAAGUGCUGUGCUAAGUUUUAAUUAACUUGUCUUCGCUUGAUUGCCAUCGGGGGGCAGAGAAUGCAAUUAAAAGAGCAGCACAGAGCAGCAAGAAACAUUUUUAAAAUGCACUCGGCGGCAGCUUGAAAGGCGACAACAACAGCAACAGGCCAUAUUUGUUAUAUGUCA